UCCUUGUGAAUCUGCAAAUAUCCUUAUUUUACCCUUUAUUUUACCAUGUAUCAUUUACAGACAAACUUCCAGUCCUGCAAGCUUCAUUCAUAGGAGUGAAUUCUCAUGAGAUCUGAUGAUUUUAUUACAAGUGGCUUCCCCCUUCUCUCGGCUCUCAUUCUUGCUCCUGCCACCAUGUGAAGAAGGGCGUGUUUGCUUCCCUUUCCACCGGGAUUGUAAGUUUCCUGAGGCCUCCCCAGCCAUGCGAAACUGGCCUAGGCUGAAGGAGAAGACAUAGCAGCCCAUGGGACAUGUUCGUCUCAUGGAUGAUCACAAUUGCCAAGAAGAUAAGCCAGCAUACAGGUUAUGCCAGAUGCUAGAAGAAGACUGUUGCUAUUGUUUUUCUCCAUGCUCAAGGAUUUUUGUCCUUUGCAAAAUAAUCUCAGAAUGUAUUGUAGAAGCUACUGAUGCCCCAAUCUAUGUCCGUCAGCCAAAUGUCUGGAUUCACUGCAGCUGCGCGACACACCCAUGUCUUUCUACCUCAACUAUCCACGCCUCUCUGCUUGCUUCUCUGCCUGUGGGGCUUUCUUGGCAGUACAGGAGUUUGCUCUGCCUAGAAGUGUAAUGAGUUUAAUUUCCCAGCAGCAAUUUUCAACCAGUGAGAAACUGGAACUGGUGCAUAAACAGCCCAGAUUCCCUAUCACCCUUUGGGCCACACUCUCAGAAAGCUUGAGAUUGCGGUUACCUGCUCCCUGCUCCCUUGUGCACACACCUUUCAUUGGCUGUCUUCCCUUUUCUACUUCACUCCUCACUCCCUUGUUGCACUUCCUGGGAUCACCUGUCAAACUACCUGGGGCAUGGUGACAUGCAUCUGUAGUCCCAACUACACAGGAGGUUGAGGUGAGAAGAUCACUUGAACCCAGGAGUUCUAGUCCAGCCUGGGCAACAUAGCAAGACUCCUGUCUCUUAAAAAAUAAAAUAAAAUACAUGUAUCUACAUCAUUUUCUCAGGGUUGGCUUUUGGAGGAGCCUAAACUAAGACUGUAAGCAGGAAACACUGAGAGCUCUCCCUAAAAUGCACAAAACUCAGAGAAACUAAAGCAAUAAAGUAACUUAAUUUAUGUGUAGAUAAAAAGUGUCUCAGAGAUGGCAUUGUUCUGUCAGAGCUGGCAAGUUAAAAAGCAGCCAAAUACAAAAAAUAUGCACAGAAGAAAAAGAAAAACACUCAUCCAGGUGCUGGUCUGUGUUUAAAGCACAGAGAGGUGCAGUUUAGUCUUAGGCUUCUUCUGUGCCCUGGUAUAUUAGUCUGUUCUCACUCUGCUAUGAGGACAUACCCGAGACUGAGUAAUUUAUAAAGUAAAGAGGUUUAGUUGACUCACAGUUCAACAUGGCUGGGUAGGCCUCAGGAAACUUACAAUCAUGACAGAAGGGGAAGCAAACACGCCCUUGUUCACAUGGCAGUAGCAAGGAGAAGUGCCACGCAAAAGGGGGAAAAGCCUGUUAUAAAACCAUCAGAUCCCGUGAGAACUCACUAUCAUAAGAACAGCAUGAGGGUAACGACCCCCAUGAUUAAAUUACCUCCCACCAGGUCGCAGCUCUAACACAUGGGAAUUACAAUUCAGAUUACAAUUCACAAUGAGAUUUUGUGUGGGGACACAGCCAAACUAUAUCACCUGGCUUCUUCCACUCCCUAACUAGUAUUACCAGAUCUUUUCUCUCUGUGGGUGCUCCUUUCUCUGACUAUUGUCCAGAAGGGACAAAUAUGGUCCUGUGCUCAUUAUUUCAAGAACAAUAGAUUUGCAUCAGACUCAUGUGCUUCUGAGAAAUGAUGUCGAACCACUCUUGCGUUGUAGCUCACAUCCUCUUGGCCACAUUUUUACAGCAACCAGCUUUGUGAUAGUGUCACUGCCAGCACCUUGCAUCAGCUGCAGCACUUAUCUCUUGCUUCUCUGUUACCAUCUGUUAAGAUGCCUUCUGCAAACUACUCAGCCAUUCUGAAGCAGGUGCAAUCUUUGAAGUCCACGGUCGUGAACAGCCUUUCGGCCAACAUGACCAAUGGUAGAAGACAGUCAAUGGAUCAUCCCUUCUCUCAUUUGUCUUUCUGGUGGACAAUUUUGAAGUGUAUUCUGUGUAGUUUCUCAGAGUGUCCCCUGGAGACCUGUGUCUCAUUUGCUCACAGCAUUGUUUAGAUUAACACAUCUUCUUGAUUUUACUUUUUCCUGCAUGUACACUCUUGUGUCCAACCCAAGUUUCUGGGGAACACUAUGCUGUUUGGGUCCACAUUUCCCUGUUUCUCCCUUCCUAGUGGCUCCUCACACAACCCUGGACCAAUUGCUCUGACAUCAACAUGGUCUCCAUCUUGCCUUAAAAUGAACAAAGGGGUAAAGAUUUAAAAAUGAGAAUCUUGCUGCUAACUGCUCUGAAGGUAUUAACCACGUGUAAAAUUUUGAACAAAUGUUUAUAACUCUAACUUGUUGAAUACUUGUUGACAUACUUGUUGAAUUUGUUAAAUUUUAAAAAACUUACUGAUUGUAAUUGUUGAAUUUUUGAGAACCCUAAUUCUUCCUCAAAAUUGGUCCUUCAUUCAUUUCCACUUUUCUUUGGAAUGUACGGUAUUUACAACCAUGGCUGCAGAUUUUUUGGGGGUUGGUUAUUGAUUCAGAAAAAAUGCUUAUUAAUAUGUCAUUUGGGCAGGCACUAUAAAGAAUAUAGAGUGACUAAAAUGCAGUUGCUAAAAUACAAGGAUAAUUUAAUGAUGAAAUAGGAAAAGCUUUACAAAUAACCAGAGCAAGUGAAAUACAGAGUAUGAUCAGCAUAAUGAAUAAAGUGUUGACAUAAUACAUAAUACAUGAAGUCCUAAUACAUAAUGUUAUGGUGACAAGAGAAGCCCAUCUGGUCAGAAGCAUAGACUACACACUGUUUUUCAGUUGGCUCAUGAAGGAUGCUCCUCUUGGGCUGUGCUGAGACUAGCAAAGACAAUUGGUGAGCUUUUUUUUUGUCACAAUGACAAAAAUGUUUGUAUUUGGUUGGCUAAGACAUUUUGAAGCAACAUUUUUCAAUUUAAUUCUUGAGAACAUUUUGAUGGCUCGCUCUCGACAUCUCAAGCUCCAAGGAUAUUUCAACAAGUUUCUGUGCUAUGUCAUCAAACAGCAUGUUUCUCCUCUCCAAGAUUGAGCUUUUAAGAGUUACGGAGUCUACUUUUCCUGAGGUCGUGAAGUCCUAAUACAUGUACUUUUGAAGCAUGAUGACUCUUCAUGCCUCCUG
This is a long non-coding RNA of Homo sapiens (human), 3242 nucleotides long. Ensembl annotates it as SNAP25 antisense RNA 1. Its record names the gene SNAP25-AS1. Lineage: Eukaryota; Metazoa; Chordata; Mammalia; Primates; Hominidae. The record is from Ensembl.